UACGGGGGGGGCAAGCGUUGUUCGGAAUUACUGGGCGUAAAGGGCUCGUAGGUGGCCAACUAAGUCAUACGUGAAAUCCCUCGGCUUAACCGGGGAACUGCGUCUGAUACUGGAUGGCUUGAGGUUGGGAGAGGGAUGCGGAAUUCCAGGUGUAGCGGUGAAAUGCGUAGAUAUCUGGAGGAACACCGGUGGCGAAGGCGGCAUCCUGGACCAACACUGACGCUGAGUGAGCGAAAGCCAGGGGAGCAAACGGG
Molecule: ribosomal RNA, 254 nt
Filed under: uncultured bacterium
Lineage: Bacteria
Description: partial 16S ribosomal RNA
Rfam family: Bacterial small subunit ribosomal RNA
Source: RNAcentral